GUGAAUCAUCAAAUCUUUGAACGCAAAUUGCACUCUCUGGUGUUCCGGAGAGUAUGCCUGUUUGAGGGUCAGUUUAAAUAAAAAUCUGUGUUGUUUCUGCCUUUCGUGGUGACGCACCGGAUUUGGGUUGUCUUGACUUCGGUUAAGUGACCUAGAAUUUUUCAUGAUUCUUUUCGAACGUAUUUAAAUGCUUUUACGUACGUUUGCGAUAUCGAAU
RNAcentral lists this unclassified non-coding RNA (217 nucleotides) under Glomeraceae sp. RNAcentral's name for it is "partial contains 5.8S ribosomal RNA and internal transcribed spacer 2". The stretch from base 1 to 71 matches the Rfam family "5.8S ribosomal RNA", at positions 84 to 154 of the family's 154-position model. The record is from RNAcentral. Lineage: Eukaryota; Fungi; Glomeromycota; Glomeromycetes; Glomerales; Glomeraceae.